Galeopterus variegatus (Sunda flying lemur) is the source of this 74-nucleotide non-coding RNA. Lineage: Eukaryota; Metazoa; Chordata; Mammalia; Dermoptera; Cynocephalidae. The record is from the annotation of a RefSeq genome assembly.
GGCCAGUUAGCUCAGUUGGUUACAGCACAUUGCUGUUAACACUGAGGUCCAGGGUUUGAUCCCCGGACUGGCCC